Molecule: ribosomal RNA, 210 nt
Filed under: uncultured bacterium
Lineage: Bacteria
Description: partial 16S ribosomal RNA
Rfam family: Bacterial small subunit ribosomal RNA
Source: RNAcentral
CAGUUCAGAUUGCAGGCUGCAACCGCCUGCAUGAAGUCGGAAUUGCUAGUAAUCGCGGAUCAGCAUGCCGCGGUGAAUACGUUCCCGGGCCUUGUACACACCGCCCGUCACACCAUGGGAGCCGGUAAUACCCGAAGUCAGUAGUCCAACCUCGUGAGGACGCUGCCGAAGGUAGGAUUGGCGACUGGGGUGAAGUCGUAACAAGGUAGC